RNAcentral lists this long non-coding RNA (2161 nucleotides) under Theobroma cacao (cacao). Its description in RNAcentral is "long non-coding RNA (TCAC_LNC002844)". The record is from RNAcentral. Lineage: Eukaryota; Viridiplantae; Streptophyta; Magnoliopsida; Malvales; Malvaceae.
CUGUUCGUCGUUUUUAAUGCUCUUUAUAUCAACACUGGCUGAUCUGUCUACAAAAUGGCACCUAAACCCAACUGACCCCUAUAGCUAACUAGCUUCCAUGUACACUCAAAAUACUUGAGGUGAUUCCUUUUGGGGGCCUGAACUAACACGCAAUGAAGCUCUUGGUGCUGUUUCUGGUUGUGAUGAUGGUGAGUUCUAGUUGCAUGGCGGGGACAAGGAGAGCCAUGAUCGGUGGAAUAUACGGGCAAGAGCAACGACAUCGUGCCGGGAAAGGAAAAGCCGUUGAAGGAAGGAGGAACACAGUCGAGGACACGGACAAGAACAUAGACAACCACCACAACAUUCCUCGACAAGAGUACGGUAAUUGGGGGAGCAAUUCUCCGGACAAUGGUGGUAACGGUGAUGAUGGAAGUGGAUAAAAAGAGUAGUGUUUUAAUUCAAGUGCUAUGCAUGAUGUGAAUAUCGUAUUUACUCUGAUAUCUAUAUAUAUGCUAUAGUAUCUGUGCCAUACGAACUUGUGUUGUUCAUAACAUUGUAGGGUACCAUACCAGGAAGGGAGUUGGCUGUAGUUUGUCUCGCAGCAUAAGCUUGUAUGGUUUUCUUCUUUUAACUUGUGUUCGUGAAUUAAUACGUGUGUUCUUCUUUGUGGUAUUUCGCUUUUCUGUUCAAGUUAAGAAGUGAUUCUUAUAGAAAUUUCUUGAUGCGGAGAUGGAGCAAAUCAGCGUAGGAACCUGAUCAAACGCAAGGACAAGUAUAGCUUUGUGUUUGUUUGCUUUCUGUUUUCAAACCUUUCAUUAAUUUUAAUCCUCUGAAACAAGACCCAGCCACCAAAUCCAGUUCUCCCGCAUCUGACUUGUCCAGUUGCAUGCUGAAACUUAAAGCCUGGGCGUAACACAAUGGAAGAACAUAACUUGUAAAUUUGUUUGGACCAACCCCGAGAGGCCGAGACUCUCUGAAGCCUUGUCCCACAGGCUGAGGUAUGGGAACAUGGGAGUUGGGGCAGCCACAACAUUUUUUUACCUCUACAAAUCCUAGAAAUGGCAACGUCACAGCCCCACAGGGAGGGGGUCAAUGGAACCUAUAGAGUUGUCCCCGGAAAUACUACAAUAUGGAAGUGGACACGGGGGUGACACUUAAAGCAGUCAAUGCAAGUUAAAGGCAAGGGCAUGGAUGGAAGGAAAACUUACUCUUUAAACAUCAGUUAGCCAAUAUUCCUGGCUAUUAAAAUUGUAAAAUUUGGAUUUUACUUGUGCAACAUUUACCAGAUAUUUCCUAAUGAUCUGAGAACAUUUAUAUGUGCAGAUCACAGUCGGUGUUAAGGGGGCUGUAGGGAUAACACAGCUUCUUUACAACUGAACCUGAAUUACAGUUUGCUUUAACGGCAAAUACACAAAUGCUUCAACUACACUUCUUCCUACGUAAAUUUCUAGCAUGAGGGUAAACUGGAGCUCCUUUAGUUGUUGUCGGGUGCUUGGAGGAAGGGGCAUCAACAGGUGAAAUUUUUGGGCUGCGAACCCUUGGAUAUGGAUGAAUGGUGGCCAGUUCACGGAUUCGGCGCACCACAGGCUUUGGUAGGGGACGUACAGCAUGCUUCAAAUCAUUCUCAACCUGCAACAAACAUUUUAAAUUAUGAUUAUACCAUAAGAGACACUAUAAACCAUCACUCUUAAUGAACAUACUCUGAUCAUUACUGCUUUUGAUAUGCAGAAGACCACGAGUAAAUACUUGCCCUGCUGAUAUAUAUUUAAACAGUCAACCCUGCAUCCCACAUCAUUUCAUAUUUUAUCAGGAGGGGGAGUUUCAAACAUGUAGCUCUUGAUGCAUUAUAGCUGGGGUAAUGUUUACUAGAAACGACAAUUCUGCAUCCUUAAGGAUCCAGGCUCAGCAGCAAGCUCUUAGGCCACUUGAUGAUAAAAAUACAAAGACUCCAAGCAUUUGCAGUUCCAAUUCUGAUCUCUAAGUAAUCUUAAAGAAAUAGUUGUAAUUAAAAGAAUAAAAAUUAAACAAGUAGAAUGAGCUAGAGAUACAAGCAAUUGAAGUGAUUGAUACCAUCCUAUUCAGGUGGAAGCAAACGAAAGUGCAAAUAGAGAAGGAAAACAACAGAAGGCUAACCUCUCUCCUGUUGUGUUUAAGUGCAGAGCUAGAUCUCAGAAGAUUUCGC